CUUUUGUAAAGUGGCUUGACCCUCACAGCUAUGGCACAGAUAGCAGGGUCAUCAAAAGCUGCUCCAUUCUUCUGGAAGCUACAGAGAAAGGGAACCUGGAAACCUGGUAUGCUGGCAAAAAGGGAUUUGUGCCAUCUUCUUAAUCUCCACCAUCCAGCCUGGACUUGAUACUUUAAAUGGACUUAACACCUAUAUAUGUACAAGUUUUAUUAUCUGAUUUCUAGCAUCAUGAAUCAAUCCCCUUCAAGGAACAGAUAAAAAAGCCCAUCCCUUGAUAGGACAGACAAAGUACAAAACAAAUUGGCAUAGAAAUAUGUCUCCAUAAAAGUUUUCAAUAAUUUCUGGUUGAUGUUUAUUGUCAGUCAUAGCAAUGGAUAUUACCAAAGAAAAUAAUGUGGGUUGAAGAGAGACCAGAACACUGGACAGUACUUGCAUUUGAGAGGUAACUAGAAAACAAAUGAAAAUGAAGAGUCCUUAAUUUUCAUUUGUUUUCUAGUUACCUCUCAAACGCAACUACUAUCUCAAAUGAAAAUGUGUGGCACUGAAUUUGGUAGCAUUAAAAAGA
This 565-nucleotide long non-coding RNA is filed under the name Homo sapiens (human). RNAcentral's name for it is "HSALNT0361131". The record is from RNAcentral. Lineage: Eukaryota; Metazoa; Chordata; Mammalia; Primates; Hominidae.